GCCUCGGUAGUCUAAAGGCUUAGGACGUCUCGCACGGAAUGCAAGAGAUCCGGGUUCGACUCCUGGCCGAAGUA
Molecule: transfer RNA, 74 nt
Organism: Atta colombica
Lineage: Eukaryota; Metazoa; Arthropoda; Insecta; Hymenoptera; Formicidae
Rfam family: tRNA
About the family: Transfer RNA (tRNA) molecules are approximately 80 nucleotides in length.
Source: Rfam